RNAcentral lists this long non-coding RNA (1095 nucleotides) under Phasianus colchicus (ring-necked pheasant). RNAcentral describes it as "lncRNA (ENSPCLG00000011661.1)". The record is from RNAcentral. Lineage: Eukaryota; Metazoa; Chordata; Aves; Galliformes; Phasianidae.
AUCCAACCUGACCCUUCCCUGGCACAAUGUGAGGCCGUCACCUCUUGUCCUGUCACCAUUAUUUGGGAGCAGAGGCCGACCCCACCUCACCACAGCCUCUUUUCAUUGCUGUAGGAGGAAUGAGGUCACCCUGAGCUCCUCUUCUCCACACUGACCCGUCCCAGCCCCCUCAGCCCAUAACACUCCAGAUCCCUCCCAGCCCAAUGACUGUUCUAUAGUGAGGGGCCCAAAGCUGAGCACAGAACCCACCAGCCAUCCAUCCUGCAUCCCAAGGCAGAGGCCUUGUUUGUGAAAAGAAAUUAAGGAUGUGUAUCAGUCUGGAAGGUACAAGGCCAGAAGACCAACCACCCUGUAACGCCAGGCAGCCCUAAGGUUCCUCCUUGCCCUAGGAUUGCCCCCUUGAAAGCAUGACUUCAAAUAAUAUUUCUAACCACAGAACAUCUUCUGAUAUGGCCGCCAGCUCUCUCUCAGAUCUCUGCACUCUACAGCUGAGGGAAUUUCUCAACCAGACACAGCAACUUCACAGUAAGUGUUUUUGCAGUCACUCUCCUCUAUAAACUCCUCCAUACGCUUUCAAACUCAGGUAAGCCUUUGUUAUCCAUAGUGGAUAAUAUGGCUGCUUCACAUAUAAUUUUGUGCCCUCUAAUUAUGUGUAGCUAAACUGUUAUGCAAUCCCCAGCCAGCCUGCCAAGGGGUGAAAUUCAUAAGAAGGAGGCAAGGGAAAAAAGUCUUAUAAACAUCUCUGUGGUAAGCUAAUCUUAUCUCAAAGUCUUUGUUCUUCAAGAUUACUUGGGGAAUUAAUAUUGUUCAUGUUUGUGCAAGAUAGAAAUGCUUGAAGUAAGGAGGGAAAAAGUGGAUUGCUAGAAGUACAGCUCAACAGAAGUAAGAAAAGGUCUGGAGUUCUGGAAGCUUUUUGUAUAGUUGCAGCUGCAAAUAAGACUUGUGGGGAUUGGCUUAGGAAAAUUGUAGAAUCACAGAAUGGCCCAAGUUGGAAGGGACCUCAAGGAUCAUGAAGCUCCAACCCCCCGCCACAUGCAGGGCCACCAACCUCCACAUUUCAUAGCAGCCCAGGCUGCCCAGGGCCCCAUCCAACCU